Molecule: transfer RNA, 76 nt
Filed under: Pristimantis sp. CORBIDI 14804
Lineage: Eukaryota; Metazoa; Chordata; Amphibia; Anura; Strabomantidae
Description: tRNA-Leu
Rfam family: tRNA
About the family: Transfer RNA (tRNA) molecules are approximately 80 nucleotides in length. Their secondary structure includes four short double-helical elements and three loops (D, anti-codon, and T loops).
Source: RNAcentral
GUUAGUGUAGCAAAUUCUGGUCUUGCAGAAGGUCUAAGCCCUUCUCACAGAGGUUCAAAUCCUCUCUCUAACUUUU